This 629-nucleotide ribosomal RNA is filed under the name Enterobacter cloacae. RNAcentral describes it as "partial 23S ribosomal RNA". It matches the Rfam family "Bacterial large subunit ribosomal RNA", at positions 2190 to 2818 of the family's 2925-position model. The record is from RNAcentral. Lineage: Bacteria; Pseudomonadati; Pseudomonadota; Gammaproteobacteria; Enterobacterales; Enterobacteriaceae.
CCUUGAAAUACCACCCUUUAAUGGCUGGUGUUCUAACGUAGACCCGUAAUCCGGGUUGCGGACAGUGUCUGGUGGGUAGUUUGACUGGGGCGGUCUCCUCCCAAAGAGUAACGGAGGAGCACGAAGGUUAGCUAAUCCUGGUCGGACAUCAGGAGGUUAGUGCAAUGGCAUAAGCUAGCUUGACUGCGAGAGUGACGGCUCGAGCAGGUGCGAAAGCAGGUCAUAGUGAUCCGGUGGUUCUGAAUGGAAGGGCCAUCGCUCAACGGAUAAAAGGUACUCCGGGGAUAACAGGCUGAUACCGCCCAAGAGUUCAUAUCGACGGCGGUGUUUGGCACCUCGAUGUCGGCUCAUCACAUCCUGGGGCUGAAGUAGGUCCCAAGGGUAUGGCUGUUCGCCAUUUAAAGUGGUACGCGAGCUGGGUUUAGAACGUCGUGAGACAGUUCGGUCCCUAUCUGCCGUGGGCGCUGGAGAAUUGAGGGGGGCUGCUCCUAGUACGAGAGGACCGGAGUGGACGCAUCACUGGUGUUCGGGUUGUCAUGCCAAUGGCACUGCCCGGUAGCUAAAUGCGGAAGAGAUAAGUGCUGAAAGCAUCUAAGCACGAAACUUGCCCCGAGAUGAGUUCUCCCUGA